UACGAACUGUGCAAACGUUAUUCGGAAUCACUGGGCUUACAGGGUGCGUAGGCGGUUUGUCAAGUCGGGUGUGAAAUCCCCCGGCUCAACCGGGGAAUUGCGCCCUAAACUGGCGAGCUGGAGUGAGAUAGGGGUGUGUGGAACUUCCAGUGGAGCGGUGAAAUGUGUUGAUAUUGGAAGGAACGCCAGUGGCGAAAGCGACACACUGGGUCUCAACUGACGCUGAGGCACGAAAGCCAGGGGAGCAAACGGG
RNAcentral lists this ribosomal RNA (253 nucleotides) under uncultured bacterium. RNAcentral's name for it is "partial 16S ribosomal RNA". It matches the Rfam family "Bacterial small subunit ribosomal RNA", at positions 524 to 776 of the family's 1533-position model. The record is from RNAcentral.